Molecule: ribosomal RNA, 402 nt
Filed under: uncultured prokaryote
Description: bacterial SSU rRNA
Rfam family: Bacterial small subunit ribosomal RNA
Source: RNAcentral
UAGGGAAUAUUAGAAAUGGACGAAAGUCUGAUCUAGCAACACCGCGUGUGCGAAGAAGGCCUUCGGGUUGUAAAGCUCUUUUCGGAAGGAUUAGGAAGGAAUGUACUUCCAGAAUAAGUCUCGGCUAACUACGUGCCAGCAGCCGCGGUAACACGUAGGAGGCAAACGUUAUCCGGAUUUACUGGGCGUAAAGCGCGUGUAGGAGGUUCUGUAAGUAGGGCGUGAAAGCUCCUGGCUCAACUGGGAGAGGCCGUUCUAAACUGCAGAGCUAGAGGAUGGUAGAGGGGGGUGGAAUUCCGGGUGUAGCGGUGGAAUGCGCAGAUAUCCGGAGGAACACCAGUGGCGAAAGCGGCCUCCUGGACCAUUCCUGACACUCAGACGCGAAAGCUAGGGGAGCAAACG